This 253-nucleotide ribosomal RNA is filed under the name uncultured bacterium. RNAcentral's name for it is "partial 16S ribosomal RNA". It matches the Rfam family "Bacterial small subunit ribosomal RNA", at positions 524 to 776 of the family's 1533-position model. The record is from RNAcentral.
UACGAAGGGGGCUAGCGUUGUUCGGAAUCACUGGGCGUAAAGGGCGCGUAGGCGGCCGAUCAAGUCGGGGGUGAAAGCCUGUGGCUCAACCACAGAAUUGCCUUCGAUACUGUUUGGCUUGAGACCGGAAGAGUUUAGUGGAACUGCGAGUGUAGAGGUGAAAUUCGUAGAUAUUCGCAAGAACACCAGUGGCGAAGGCGGCUGACUGGUCCGGUUCUGACGCUGAGGCGCGAAAGCGUGGGGAGCAAACAGG